AUUGAACGCUGGCGGCAUGCCUUACACAUGCAAGUCGAGCGGCAGCGCGGGGGCAACCCUGGCGGCGAGCGGCGAACGGGUGAGUAAUGCAUCGGAACGUGUCCUCUUGUGGGGGAUAACCAGUCGAAAGACUGGCUAAUACCGCAUGAGAUCGAGAGAUGAAAGCAGGGGACCGCAAGGCCUUGCGCGAGAGGAGCGGCCGAUGCCGGAUUAGCUAGUUGGUGGGGUAACGGCCUACCAAGGCGAUGAUCAGUAGCCGGUCUGAGAGGAUGGCUGGCCACACUGGGAUUGAGAUACGGCCCAGACUCCUACGGGGGGCAGCAGUCUAGAAGCUUCGGCAAUGGGGGAAACCCUGACCGAGCGACGCCGCGUGCGGGACGAAGGUCUUCGGAUUGUAAACCGCUUUCGAUCGGGAUGAACGGCAGGGGGGUUAACAGCUCUUCUGUUCGACAGUACCGGGAGAAGAAGCCCCGGCUAACUCCGUGCCAGCAGCCGCGGUA
This 500-nucleotide ribosomal RNA is filed under the name uncultured bacterium. RNAcentral describes it as "bacterial SSU rRNA". It matches the Rfam family "Bacterial small subunit ribosomal RNA", at positions 28 to 522 of the family's 1533-position model. The record is from RNAcentral.